AUGCAGUCGAGCGGUAGCACAGAGAGCUUGCUCUCGGGUGACGAGCGGCGGACGGGUGAGUAAUGUCUGGGAAACUGCCUGAUGGAGGGGGAUAACUACUGGAAACGGUAGCUAAUACCGCAUAACGUCGCAAGACCAAAGUGGGGGACCUUCGGGCCUCAUGCCAUCAGAUGUGCCCAGAUGGGAUUAGCUGGUAGGUGGGGUAACGGCUCACCUAGGCGACGAUCCCUAGCUGGUCUGAGAGGAUGACCAGCCACACUGGAACUGAGACACGGUCCAGACUCCUACGGGAGGCAGCAGUGGGGAAUAUUGCACAAUGGGCGCAAGCCUGAUGCAGCCAUGCCGCGUGUGUGAAGAAGGCCUUCGGGUUGUAAAGCACUUUCAGCGGGGAGGAAGGCGGUGAGGUUAAUAACCUCAUCGAUUGACGUUACCCGCAGAAGAAGCACCGGCUAACUCCGUGCCAGCAGCCGCGGUAAUACGGAGGGUGCAAGCGUUAAUCGGAAUUACUGGGCGUAAAGCGCACGCAGGCGGUCUGUCAAGUCGGAUGUGAAAUCCCCGGGCUCAACCUGGGAACUGCAUUCGAAACUGGCAGGCUAGAGUCUUGUAGAGGGGGGUAGAAUUCCAGGUGUAGCGGUGAAAUGCGUAGAGAUCUGGAGGAAUACCGGUGGCGAAGGCGGCCCCCUGGACAAAGACUGACGCUCAGGUGCGAAAGCGUGGGGAGCAAACAGGAUUAGAUACCCUGGUAGUCCACGCUGUAAACGAUGUCGAUUUGGAGGUUGUGCCCUUGAGGCGUGGCUUCCGGAGCUAACGCGUUAAAUCGACCGCCUGGGGAGUACGGCCGCAAGGUUAAAACUCAAAUGAAUUGACGGGGGCCCGCACAAGCGGUGGAGCAUGUGGUUUAAUUCGAUGCAACGCGAAGAACCUUACCUGGUCUUGACAUCCACAGAACUUUCCAGAGAUGGAUUGGUGCCUUCGGGAACUGUGAGACAGGUGCUGCAUGGCUGUCGUCAGCUCGUGUUGUGAAAUGUUGGGUUAAGUCCCGCAACGAGCGCAACCCUUAUCCUUUGUUGCCAGCGGUCAGGCCGGGAACUCAAAGGAGACUGCCAGUGAUAAACUGGAGGAAGGUGGGGAUGACGUCAAGUCAUCAUGGCCCUUACGACCAGGGCUACACACGUGCUACAAUGGCAUAUACAAAGAGAAGCGACCUCGCGAGAGCAAGCGGACCUCAUAAAGUAUGUCGUAGUCCGGAUUGGAGUCUGCAACUCGACUCCAUGAAGUCGGAAUCGCUAGUAAUCGUAGAUCAGAAUGCUACGGUGAAUACGUUCCCGGGCCUUGUACACACCGCCCGUCACACCAUGGGAGUGGGUUGCAAAAGAAGUAGGUAGCUUAACCUUCGGGAGGGCGCUACCACUU
RNAcentral lists this ribosomal RNA (1413 nucleotides) under Klebsiella variicola. RNAcentral's name for it is "bacterial SSU rRNA". It matches the Rfam family "Bacterial small subunit ribosomal RNA". Lineage: Bacteria; Pseudomonadati; Pseudomonadota; Gammaproteobacteria; Enterobacterales; Enterobacteriaceae. The record is from RNAcentral.